Molecule: non-coding RNA, 72 nt
Organism: Podarcis lilfordi (Lilford's wall lizard)
Lineage: Eukaryota; Metazoa; Chordata; Lepidosauria; Squamata; Lacertidae
Source: the annotation of a GenBank genome assembly
GGGCGUGUAGCUCAGUGGUAGAACAUCUCCUUUGCAUGCAGAAGGUCCCAGGUUCAAUCCCUGGCAUUUCCU